GAUGAAGAACGCAGCGAAAUGCGAUAAGUAGUGUGAAUUGCAGAAUUCAGUGAAUCAUCGAAUCUUUGAACGCACAUUGCGCCCCUUGGUAUCCCGAGGGGCAUGCCUGUUCGAGCGUCAUUUCACUACUCAAGCCUGGCUUGGUGUUGGGCGACGUCCCCUUUGGGGACGCGCCUCGAAACGCUCGGCGGCGUGGCACCGGCUUUAAGCGUAGCAGAAUCUUUCGCUUUGGAAGUCGGGGCCCCGUCUGCCGGAAGACCUACUCGCAAGGUUGACCUCGGAUCAGGCAGGGAUACCCGCUGAACUCAAGCAUAUCAAUAAGCGGAGGA
RNAcentral lists this unclassified non-coding RNA (329 nucleotides) under soil metagenome. RNAcentral describes it as "partial contains 5.8S ribosomal RNA, internal transcribed spacer 2, and large subunit ribosomal RNA". The stretch from base 1 to 120 matches the Rfam family "5.8S ribosomal RNA", at positions 35 to 154 of the family's 154-position model. The record is from RNAcentral.